GACAGAGGGUGCAAACGUUGUUCGGAUUUACUGGGCGUAAAGCGCGUGUAGGCGGCUUCGUAAGUUGGAUGUGAAAUCCCACGGCUCAACCGUGGACGUGCAUCCAAAACUACGUCGCUGGAGUCUCGGAGAGGAAGGUGGAAUGCUUGGUGUAGAGGUGAAAUUUGUAGAUAUCAAGCAGAACACCUGCGGCGAAGGCGGCCUUCUGGACGAUGACUGACGCUGAGACGCGAAAGCGUGGGGAGCAAACAGG
RNAcentral lists this ribosomal RNA (253 nucleotides) under uncultured bacterium. RNAcentral describes it as "partial 16S ribosomal RNA". It matches the Rfam family "Bacterial small subunit ribosomal RNA", at positions 524 to 776 of the family's 1533-position model. The record is from RNAcentral.